This 72-nucleotide transfer RNA is filed under the name Deltaproteobacteria bacterium. RNAcentral describes it as "tRNA-His". It matches the Rfam family "tRNA". From Rfam's summary of the family: Transfer RNA (tRNA) molecules are approximately 80 nucleotides in length. Their secondary structure includes four short double-helical elements and three loops (D, anti-codon, and T loops). Further hydrogen bonds mediate the characteristic L-shaped molecular structure. tRNAs have two regions of fundamental functional importance: the anti-codon, which is responsible for specific mRNA codon recognition, and the 3' end, to which the tRNAs corresponding amino acid is attached (by aminoacyl-tRNA synthetases). tRNAs cope with the degeneracy of the genetic code in two manners: having more than one tRNA (with a specific anti-codon) for a particular amino acid; and 'wobble' base-pairing, i.e. permitting non-standard base-pairing at the 3rd anti-codon position. Lineage: Bacteria; Pseudomonadati; Myxococcota; Myxococcia. The record is from RNAcentral.
GUGGUCAUGGUGUAACGGUUUGCAUAGGAGUCUGUGAAUCUCCUGGUACGGGUUCGAUCCCCGUUGACCACC